This 253-nucleotide ribosomal RNA is filed under the name uncultured bacterium. RNAcentral's name for it is "partial 16S ribosomal RNA". It matches the Rfam family "Bacterial small subunit ribosomal RNA", at positions 524 to 776 of the family's 1533-position model. The record is from RNAcentral.
UACGUAGGGGGCAAGCGUUGUCCGGAAUCAUUGGGCGUAAAGGGCGCGUAGGCGGAUAUUUAAGUCUGGUGUGAAAACCUAGGGCUCAACCCUGGGACUGCAUCGGAAACUGGGUAUCUUGAGGACAGGAGAGGAAAGUGGAAUUCCACGUGUAGCGGUGAAAUGCGUAGAUAUGUCACAGAACACCGAUCGCGAAGGCAGCUAACGAAGCUAGUACUGACACUGAUGCACGAAAGCGUGGGGAGCAAACAGG